GAAAAUGUAUGUAUCAUCAUGCGGUAGUCAGUAAGGAAGUUUCAGGCCACAAUCAGUCGCAGAUGGCUAGAAUCAUUUUUGGUAUUAUCUUUCCAGGAAUGUAUUUCGCCUUGUUAUCCUUUGCUACGAGUCUAAUGGCAGUGUGUUCACCCUUCCUCAUCAAUGGACUAUUCGCAUACACGAAUAAGAUUGGCUUCCCUCAAAUCACAUUUUAUGUGACUUCAGUUAUUCUACUUAUCCCUCUGUCAUUGAAUGGAAUGCUGCAGUACUACGUUCAGAAAACAAAGAGGGAAAAGGAUUCGUCAAAACUCGACGACCAGCCCGACGGAUCUCGUAACCAAACUCUACGUCUUGAACCCAGCGAAGAUGAAAUUUAAUUUUUGCCUCGGAGCAAUCCCAAUCAACAUUAAGCGAAUAAAUACCCGCAUUAUCAAUGCUUGAUUAUGAAGUAUCUUAAAAAUAGUGACUUUACGAUAUAUAGUUGUUAGGAGAGCUCUCCUACACCCCGACAUAUUGUGAGUUUUAACGAUAUGACCUUUAAAAUUAAUGACUUAUACACGACAUACCAUAAUAAAUAUAUGUAUUUAAUGGGGUGAUCCAGUAGGCAGGCGCAGAUCCACAAUGAGGGCCCGACGGGCCCGCCAUCCC
Long non-coding RNA from Strongylocentrotus purpuratus (purple sea urchin), 648 nucleotides. RefSeq lists it as uncharacterized. The transcript has 2 exons. Lineage: Eukaryota; Metazoa; Echinodermata; Echinoidea; Camarodonta; Strongylocentrotidae. The record is from RefSeq and is a predicted model, not a curated record.